AGAGUUUGAUCCUGGCUCAGGAUGAACGCUGGCGGCGUGCCUAACACAUGCAAGUCGAACGGGUGUACGGGGAGGAAGGCUUCGGCCGGAAAACCUGUGCAUGAGUGGCGGACGGGUGAGUAACGCGUGGGCAACCUGGCCUGUACAGGGGGAUAACACUUAGAAAUAGGUGCUAAUACCGCAUAACGGGGGAAGCCGCAUGGCUUUUCCCUGAAAACUCCGGUGGUACAGGAUGGGCCCGCGUCUGAUUAGCCAGUUGGCAGGGUAACGGCCUACCAAAGCGACGAUCAGUAGCCGGCCUGAGAGGGCGGACGGCCACACUGGGACUGAGACACGGCCCAGACUCCUACGGGAGGCAGCAGUGGGGGAUAUUGCACAAUGGGGGGAACCCUGAUGCAGCGACGCCGCGUGGGUGAAGAAGCGCCUCGGCGCGUAAAGCCCUGUCAGCAGGGAAGAAAAUGACGGUACCUGAAGAAGAAGCCCCGGCUAACUACGUGCCAGCAGCCGCGGUAAUACGU
Molecule: ribosomal RNA, 518 nt
Filed under: uncultured bacterium
Lineage: Bacteria
Description: bacterial SSU rRNA
Rfam family: Bacterial small subunit ribosomal RNA
Source: RNAcentral